This 412-nucleotide ribosomal RNA is filed under the name uncultured bacterium. RNAcentral's name for it is "bacterial SSU rRNA". It matches the Rfam family "Bacterial small subunit ribosomal RNA", at positions 29 to 426 of the family's 1533-position model. The record is from RNAcentral.
AAUGAACGCUGGCGGCGUGCUUAACACAUGCAAGUCGAACGAGGCGUGGGGGGGCAACUCUCCAGUUUAGUGGCGGACGGGUGAGUAACACGUGGGUAACCUGCCCGGAAGUGGGGAAUACCUCGGGGAAACUCGAGCUAAUACCGCAUGACAUCUUCGGGACGAAAGUCCUGACGAUCAAAGCGGGGUCGCAAGAUCUCGCGCUACCGGAUGGGCCCGCGCCCGAUUAGCUAGUUGGUGAGGUAACGGCUCACCAAGGCUUCGAUCGGUAACCGGCCUGAGAGGGCGAUCGGUCACACCGGAACUGACACACGGGCCAGACUCCUACGGGAGGCAGCAGUGGGGAAUUUUGGGCAAUGGGCGAAAGCCUGACCCAGCAACGCCGCGUGAAGGAGGAAAUCCUUCGGGAUGU